This 2900-nucleotide ribosomal RNA is filed under the name Klebsiella pneumoniae. RNAcentral's name for it is "bacterial LSU rRNA". It matches the Rfam family "Bacterial large subunit ribosomal RNA". The record is from RNAcentral. Lineage: Bacteria; Pseudomonadati; Pseudomonadota; Gammaproteobacteria; Enterobacterales; Enterobacteriaceae. RNAcentral also lists the same sequence under 2 other names.
UUAAGCGACUAAGCGUACACGGUGGAUGCCCUGGCAGUCAGAGGCGAUGAAGGACGUGCUAAUCUGCGAAAAGCGUCGGUAAGGUGAUAUGAACCGUUAUAACCGGCGAUGUCCGAAUGGGGAAACCCAGUGUGAUUCGUCACACUAUCGUUAACUGAAUACAUAGGUUAACGAGGCGAACCGGGGGAACUGAAACAUCUAAGUACCCCGAGGAAAAGAAAUCAACCGAGAUUCCCCCAGUAGCGGCGAGCGAACGGGGAGCAGCCCAGAGUCUGAAUCAGCUUGUGUGUUAGUGGAACGGUCUGGAAAGUCCGACGGUACAGGGUGAUAGUCCCGUACACCAAAAUGCACAGGCUGUGAACUCGAAGAGUAGGGCGGGACACGUGGUAUCCUGUCUGAAUAUGGGGGGACCAUCCUCCAAGGCUAAAUACUCCUGACUGACCGAUAGUGAACCAGUACCGUGAGGGAAAGGCGAAAAGAACCCCGGCGAGGGGAGUGAAAAAGAACCUGAAACCGUGUACGUACAAGCAGUGGGAGCACCUUCGGGUGUGACUGCGUACCUUUUGUAUAAUGGGUCAGCGACUUAUAUUCUGUAGCAAGGUUAACCGUAUAGGGGAGCCGCAGGGAAACCGAGUCUUAACUGGGCGUUAAGUUGCAGGGUAUAGACCCGAAACCCGGUGAUCUAGCCAUGGGCAGGUUGAAGGUUGGGUAACACUAACUGGAGGACCGAACCGACUAAUGUUGAAAAAUUAGCGGAUGACUUGUGGCUGGGGGUGAAAGGCCAAUCAAACCGGGAGAUAGCUGGUUCUCCCCGAAAGCUAUUUAGGUAGCGCCUCGUGAACUCAUCUUCGGGGGUAGAGCACUGUUUCGGCUAGGGGGUCAUCCCGACUUACCAACCCGAUGCAAACUACGAAUACCGAAGAAUGUUAUCACGGGAGACACACGGCGGGUGCUAACGUCCGUCGUGAAGAGGGAAACAACCCAGACCGCCAGCUAAGGUCCCAAAGUCAUGGUUAAGUGGGAAACGAUGUGGGAAGGCACAGACAGCCAGGAUGUUGGCUUAGAAGCAGCCAUCAUUUAAAGAAAGCGUAAUAGCUCACUGGUCGAGUCGGCCUGCGCGGAAGAUGUAACGGGGCUAAACCAUGCACCGAAGCUGCGGCAGCGACACUAUGUGUUGUUGGGUAGGGGAGCGUUCUGUAAGCCUGCGAAGGUGUGCUGUGAGGCAUGCUGGAGGUAUCAGAAGUGCGAAUGCUGACAUAAGUAACGAUAAAGCGGGUGAAAAGCCCGCUCGCCGGAAGACCAAGGGUUCCUGUCCAACGUUAAUCGGGGCAGGGUGAGUCGACCCCUAAGGCGAGGCCGAAAGGCGUAGUCGAUGGGAAACAGGUUAAUAUUCCUGUACUUGGUGUUACUGCGAAGGGGGGACGGAGAAGGCUAUGUUAGCCGGGCGACGGUUGUCCCGGUUUAAGCAUGUAGGCUGAUUGUCCAGGCAAAUCCGGAUAAUCAAGGCUGAGGUGUGAUGACGAGGCACUACGGUGCUGAAGUAACAAAUGCCCUGCUUCCAGGAAAAGCCUCUAAGCAUCAGGUAACAUUAAAUCGUACCCCAAACCGACACAGGUGGUCAGGUAGAGAAUACCAAGGCGCUUGAGAGAACUCGGGUGAAGGAACUAGGCAAAAUGGUGCCGUAACUUCGGGAGAAGGCACGCUGGUGUGUAGGUGAAGUCCCUGCGGAUGGAGCUGAGACCAGUCGAAGAUACCAGCUGGCUGCAACUGUUUAUUAAAAACACAGCACUGUGCAAACACGAAAGUGGACGUAUACGGUGUGACGCCUGCCCGGUGCCGGAAGGUUAAUUGAUGGGGUUAUCCGUAAGGAGAAGCUCUUGAUCGAAGCCCCGGUAAACGGCGGCCGUAACUAUAACGGUCCUAAGGUAGCGAAAUUCCUUGUCGGGUAAGUUCCGACCUGCACGAAUGGCGUAAUGAUGGCCAGGCUGUCUCCACCCGAGACUCAGUGAAAUUGAACUCGCUGUGAAGAUGCAGUGUACCCGCGGCAAGACGGAAAGACCCCGUGAACCUUUACUAUAGCUUGACACUGAACAUUGAGCCUUGAUGUGUAGGAUAGGUGGGAGGCUUUGAAGCGUGGACGCCAGUCUGCGUGGAGCCAACCUUGAAAUACCACCCUUUAAUGUUUGAUGUUCUAACGUUGGCCCCUGACCGGGGUUGCGGACAGUGUCUGGUGGGUAGUUUGACUGGGGCGGUCUCCUCCCAAAGCGUAACGGAGGAGCACGAAGGUUAGCUAAUCCUGGUCGGACAUCAGGAGGUUAGUGCAAUGGCAUAAGCUAGCUUGACUGCGAGCGUGACGGCGCGAGCAGGUGCGAAAGCAGGUCAUAGUGAUCCGGUGGUUCUGAAUGGAAGGGCCAUCGCUCAACGGAUAAAAGGUACUCCGGGGAUAACAGGCUGAUACCGCCCAAGAGUUCAUAUCGACGGCGGUGUUUGGCACCUCGAUGUCGGCUCAUCACAUCCUGGGGCUGAAGUAGGUCCCAAGGGUAUGGCUGUUCGCCAUUUAAAGUGGUACGCGAGCUGGGUUUAGAACGUCGUGAGACAGUUCGGUCCCUAUCUGCCGUGGGCGCUGGAGAAUUGAGGGGGGCUGCUCCUAGUACGAGAGGACCGGAGUGGACGCAUCACUGGUGUUCGGGUUGUCAUGCCAAUGGCACUGCCCGGUAGCUAAAUGCGGAAGAGAUAAGUGCUGAAAGCAUCUAAGCACGAAACUUGCCCCGAGAUGAGUUCUCCCUGAGACUUUAAGUCUCCUGAAGGAACGUUAAAGACGAUGACGUUGAUAGGCCGGGUGUGUAAGCGCAGCGAUGCGUUGAGCUAACCGGUACUAAUGAACCGUGAGGCUUAACCUU